ACUAACAUCUUUGCCUUUUAACGUUUUAAGGAGAUCUUUUGCGGCAGAUUUGACCAAUGCAAUACUUAAUUUCUGCUUCCAUAGGCGGUGAUUGUGAGUCUAAGUAAAAUGAAAAUCCUUGACAACUUCAAUCUUCUCUCCAUUUAUCAUGAUAUUGCUUAUUGGUCCAGUUAUGCAGAUUUUUGUUUUAUUUAUGUUGAGAUGUAAUCCAUACUGAAGGCUAUUUUUUUUCCAGAGAGGAAACUAAUUUUUAAUAAGCACCUAGUACCUAAUAAGUGCUUAGUAAAAAUUGGAAACCCUGGUGGUGUAGUGGUUAAGAGCUAUGGCUGCUAACCAAAAGGUUAGCAGUUCAAAUCUACCAGGUGCUUCUUGGAAGCCAUAUGGGGAAGUUCUACUCUGUCCUUUAGGGUUGCUAUGAGUCGGAAUCCACUCGAUGGCAAGGGGUUUGUUUGUGUGGGUUAAUAAAAAUUAGUUUCCUCUCUGAAAAAAAGUUCUUUGCCCCCAAAACAAUCUAAAUCAGAGAGCUAAAUGCUAUCUCCUGGGCAAGUACCCCAAAAGAAAGGGAUGGGGUCAAGGGGUGGGUGGGAUUCCUAACCCAGGUCAGGCUAGAGGGAAGCUAGGAGAAGGCUGAUGAACCCAUGCCGCAGUCAGCAAGUCCCCCACCCUGUUCCUCCUCUUCUACUUCCUCCUCCCACAGUCUCCACAGAGCCGACUUCUCCCCUUCCGCUUCCCCGCCCCCCCAGAGUCUCUUCUAGAAACUCAGCCCAUUACCGCCCCCAUGGGGAGUCUGGCUGUUUCCAGCCUGCAGGGAGCUCUAAGCCCCAAUCAACUGAAAACCCUGAGGUCAAAGAGCAAAUUUGUCACCGUCACUAGCCUUCUUCUUGAGAGUAACAUUAAAAACAGGGAUCCAGCAAUUGAAUUGAGAUGAUGCUUUGAGUUUUUCAGCCUCUUAUUUCCCUACUCAUAUCAUCUUUAUAAAUAAUGGGUGCCACAAUAAAAAUGGAUGUUUUCCCUCCCGUUACUUAAAUACACAGAAACUUGAAAGAAAGGCUAAGGAUACGUCUACCACCUCUGCAUACGAGUUUAACCAAGACAACCUGCUGCUCUUGGUAAUAGAUGGUUGACCCUGGUUUCUAAACACAUGCUUCCUUUUUCAAUUAAUUUUCCUCCUCCUCACAAGACGAAACAGACAUUUUGGUAAACAAACAAUAUCCCUUUAACUGUCUACUUGUUUUAAAUUCUGAGAGUCAGAGUUUAAGACUGGCGUCCUUUUCCAGAGGAAUUAAAAAGGAGUGCUGAAUCUUUGGAAAACCAACAAAAGGCCCAAAGAAAGGGAAACCCAACCAAAACCAGUUGCCCUUGAGUCAAUUCUGACUCAUGGCGACCCAUGUGUUACAGAGUAGAACUGCGCUCCACAAGGCUUUCCAGGCUGUGACCUUGACCAAAGCAGAUCACCAGGCCCUUCUUCCAAGGUGCCUCUAGUGGGUUUCAAACCGCCAGUCUUUGGAUUACUAGUCAAGCAGUUAACCAUCUGCACCACCAGGAACUCUUUUUGAUAAAAGAAAACAAAAAAUGCCUUUGGUGUCUAUUAGUGAAUAAAGCAACUGAGGACUGCAGCUUCGGGAGUUUUAAAAACAAGCAUAGCUAAAGAUUUCUCACAAGCACGCGCAUACACAAAAAACACCUCGAACUGAUAAACUUGGGGGGCUGUGUGCCUGUUUCAAAUCAGUGAUGUGCUUAUCUAAAAAGGCAUACCCUAUCCAAAGGAAAAUGAAACAGUGAAGGUAUUUGAAAAAAAAACAUUGCCAUUGAGUCGAUUCUGACUUACAGCGAUCUUACAGGUCAGAGCAGAACUGCCCCAUAGGGUAUCCCAGGGUGAACUCUUUAUGGAAACAGACUGCCACAUCUUUCUCCCUUGGAAAAACCAACCUUUUGGUUAGCAGCCGAGCACUUAACCACUGUGCCACUAGGGCUCCUUAAGUGAAGGUGUGACCCAGUACCCAGUGCCGUCGAGUCGAUUCUGACUCAUAGCGACCCUAUAGGACAGAGUAGAACCGCCCCACAGAGUUUCCAAGUGAAGGUGUAGUAUGAUUAUUUUUCAAAUAAACAGGAGCUACCGAAUUACACAUUUCAAAAUAGUGAAAACAGCAGAUUUUAUGUUAUAUAUAUUUCACCACAACAAAAAAUUGACAAUAACAACUAGAGAGGUUAGACAGGAAGCUUAGAGGGUACUGACUUUAUGUUAACGGGGGAGGAACAAUUUGGAAAAGGACAGGGAGAUCCAUUGCGCAACUUGCAGAAUGUAAUCAAUGUCACUGAAUUGUACACAGAUAACCUGUGGAAUCGGUGUAUACUCUGCUUCAUCUAUUUUCAACAACAACAAAAAUAAAUUAAAAAAAAAGUAGAUGUAAACCCUAGAAGAAAAUGUAUAAAAAUGCCCGUCAUGAUAAUGUAAGGGUGGAAGGGUGACAGGCAAUUACAUAUCUUUUGCAAGUGAUAUGCAAUGUUAUUAAAGUCUGCUUACAAUGAAACAUAUAUAUACUUUUUUUACUGUGCUUUAGAUGAAGGCUUACAGAGCUCAUUAGUUUCUUAUUAUAUGUAUAAUUUUUAAAUUAUGCAUAUAAUUUUUAAAUUAUACAUUCUUAUGGAAUGUUCUCCCUUGGAGUAAGGAAUAAGUGUAUUUCUUACCUGCUAGGAGGAAAAACUUAAGAACAAAAAGUUAAAUUCUGCUUACCUGAGGUUUAACUUUCGAUCAUCAUCACUGCCAGCCUCCAGCUACGGAGAAAAGAAAGAGAAUGUCACACCACAGACACCCGUCUCGACAACUCCAGGACACAAGUGUCAUGUUUUCUGUUCUGGUGCCCGAGAAAGAUAAAGAUGUCCCGGAAACCUGGCUAUUUCUCAGCAGCCAUGCCCUUUCCUUACCAAUCCUGGUCUGCCGCUCCUCUGAGUAAUUUCCUUGGAGGAAUUUUUCAGGUUCCCCAAUGUUUCCCCACAUUCCUGCCACAGUAGAGGGAAUUGAUCCUUGUAACUUAACAUUUCCUAUCUGGCAUUGUUACUCACAGACUCUUUGAGCCCACAGGUCUCAACUUUCCAGAGUUGUUCUGGAUCUUAUCCUGUUUUUUUCUUUUUUAAGGGGAGGGGAAAGUAUUUGAAAAGAAUCCAUUUUCUCCUGCAAGCCAGGCAAGAGCUAAGUGAUCAUCAUCAUAUAUUUGGAAAAAAAAAAAGAUUCCAGGCAAGUCUGCCACCAUGGAAGGUGGCCAGGGUCCAACGGUCUGUCUGUGGAUCUCAAAAGCUUUUGGUGGUUUGCAAACAGGCUUAAAUGUUUAAUAUGAACCUUUCCAGGCAAUGGCUUUAUUUGUAUAAAUGAAAGUAAGGGACAUUUAAUAUUUUCUAAAAGCUAAAAGACCAAGAGGUUAGACUCCAAAAGUAGCUGCAACUUAAGCCCCGAUAGCGAUUUUUCUUUAUUAUUUUUCCUUUCCGAGAGAAAAGUGAAAUAGAAGAGAACACACACACACCCCAAAUAACUCUGCACCGCUGGGACUUGGCAUGUUUUGUAUGUUACACAGAGGCGCCCACUGAGCAGGAACGAGAAACCUGGAAAGCAGCGAUGGCUAGGAGAGAUGCAAGGCUGACCGAGGACAGAAAUGAGACAGAAGCCAACGGUGAUGGGAAAAGGACACGGAACUCAUGCCAGGAGGGACCUGGGCAGCAAGGACACAUACCAGGAGGUGGCAAUUUCAUCAAAGGGGGCGUAACUAAAGAGGCCUAGAGUUCCUGAAGUUUAUUAAGAUGAUGUAGGUGCAGGAGUCCCUGGGUGGCACAAACGGUUAAACGCUGGACUACUAGCUAAAAGGUUGGUAGUUCGAACCCACUGAGAGGUGCAUCAAAAGAAAGUCCUGGAGAUCUGCUUCCAAAAGGUCUCAGCCUUGAAAACGUCACGGAGCACAGUUCUACGGGGCACGCGUGGGGUCUCCAUGAGGCGGAGCUGACUCCAUGGUAACCAACGGUGUGAGUCUAGCAUUAUGCAGAGGCACACAGCUGGUAGCUACUUAGUUCCCACUUUCCCCACCCACACUGAAGGGGAAGUGGGAAAACCCGGGAAAGUUUUGCUAGCUAUAGGGCCAGGACCUUCGAUUCUGGAGUGAAACAUAAAACAAAACAAUACACACGACAACAACCUCUAAGUGAACGUUGGGUCCAACCCUGUAGUUCCCAGCCAGGGGGGCAAGUUUGCCUCCCAGGAGACUCUCUCUGGGCAAUGUCUGGAGACAUUUUGGGGGGACUGAUACUGGCACCUAGUGGGUAGGGCCCGCUAAGCAUCCUCCAAUACACAUGACCGCUCCUGACAAAAGAGAACUUUCCAGCCUCCAAUGUCAGCAGUGCUGAGGUUGAGAAACUCUGGUCCAACCCCAAAAAGUGCCUGGAGAUCUGCCCAUGAAAAUGAGUCACCUUGAAUGUUUGUCAAAAAUAACAAUGUUAUGAUCCAUUCCUGAAAAUUACUGAUGUAUCUCUUCUGUGCUCCGCCUAGUCUCACAAAGGAGCUCAGGUGGUUAACAGUAAAAUGACGUCAAUGAGAUUAAGGAUUGAAGAGGAAAAAUCAAAAGAGAGAGGUGCUUUACUCUUGUGGUGACUUCCCUGGGUUUCCCACGCCAUUUCCCAUGCUCAAGGCAUGUGUCCCCUCCUCCCAUUUGAGCUGAGACUCAGAGAGGCAACCUGAUUAAAGCCAGACCAGAGGCAGGGCCGGGCCAGGCCCCAGGUCUCCUGGUCCUACACACAGGCUCUUUCCCUUCUAUCUCACUUCAUGGCUCAACCCCGCCUGGAAGAAAGCCUCACCUUCCCGGGAACAUCCCAGGGUCCCUCAUUUGCUGAGCCCCUAAUGUUGACCAUCUCCUGAAGACAAUAAUGCAAGCAUCUUGGACUUCUGCGUGAGAAGAGCUGGCUGAGAGGCUCUCUGGACACCCCCUGCCUGAACCCAGGUUCUUCACCAUGUAUCACAAUUCUGUGCUGAGAACAUGAGGUUAAGUGCACGCACUGCUUUGCAAACUGCAAGACAGCAGUCAUAGGAAUGAUGCAAGAGAAGAGAUGCCGCUGUGGGGAGGAGAGAAGCUACUGCAAUCUAACUUCUCAGCUGCAGGCAACUCGCCACCAGUGUUCCUUUGCCUCUAGUCAGCGUGCAGAGAAGGAACUACUAGAACCUUCUGUCUACAGACAAGAUAACUCGUUAAUGGCCUCUCCCAGGAGAGGAGGGAGCUGCAGAGUUUCAACCUAACAGCCACUCUGCAAACAUUCCUGUCAGUCACAGCAAAAUGAGGCCAGGAGACAGCAGGACAGAUAGUGCUGCUCUAUCAAGUACACCUCUCCCUGCCACACACACACACACACACACACACACACAGACAUACACACAGCCACCCCUUUCUAGUGUUAUCAGUCAGCUUCCCCCCUCUCUCUCUCACAGGGAAAGAGCCUGUGCAGCCCAGAUGCUGGUGGGAUGACUUCCUGGGCCUUUGGGGCUCCUCCUCCAGCUGUUUGUCCCUGCUCCUGCUCUGAACCCAGUUAAUGAUCUCCUUUCCAGCUGCCCUCACCUCAGGCCAACACAGUCUGCUCAUGGGUUCCAGUUUAGACCGGAGAGGCCUUGAAGUCUUCUCCAAAAGCAGGUGUACAAGGGGGAGGCGCAGGAGGGUCAGCCCUGCCACUGCAGAGGGGUGACCUGCUCAGCGGCCCCAGAGGCCACAGCCUAGGUCAUUCCAGCUUGAUUCUGCAGAAUUAUCGUUGCUGCUGUUCUGUGCCAUUGAGUCUGUUCCAACUCAGAGUGACCGCAUGUGACAGGGUAGGACUGUCCCAUAUGAUUUUCUAAGCUACAGCCUUUAUGGAAGCAGAUCCCCAGGUCAAGUCUUUCUCCCUCAGAGCUGCUGGGUGGGAUCAAACCACCAACCUUUUGGUUAGCAGCCAAGCAUUCACUGGUAAAUACUAUACCACCAGGGCUCCUCAGAGGUAGGUGCCAAGCCCCCAAUCUGCCUCAGAGUAAAGGGACCCACCAAACACAAACCAGUACCAUCAAGGUGACUCUAACUCAUGAUGACCCCAUCUGUGUCAGAGUAGAACUGUGCUCCAUUGGAUUUUUAAUGGCUGGGUGGAUUCGAACCUCCAACCUUUACGUUAGUGGCUGAGAAAAUCAACUGUAUGCACUACCCAGGGACUUCCACAGGCAGACAGACCCACAGAAACCCACACCAGUGCAGAGAAAUGGAGAAUCAACUACAAUCAAGGGAUUCAUUCUCAGUCCCCAAAUGCACCCAUGAACCUCCAAAACCCCCAAAUCGGUCACAGCCACAUGGUCAGACGCACAUAAACAUACAGUCCUAAAUAUUACAAAAGGGAAAAGCCCAGACUCAGCCACACACCAACACAAGACACACGGUCACACAGCGUCCACAGCACACUCAGUCACUGUCACACAGUUACACAUCACCCAAGAAGCACAGCCACACACACAGCCAAAGCUCCAGCGGCACAGGGUCUCACACACUCAGGAACGACCACCUCACACACUCACAGUCACCCCUACCAGCCUCUCUCACAGCUCUCACAGCAUAACACAGCACCAUCUCCAGCAGAGAAGUCACAGAGUCACACACAAAGUCUCACAUACACACAUCAGGCAUGCAGGAGAGGGGGACAGAACAGUCACAGGGUCA
Loxodonta africana (African savanna elephant) is the source of this 6701-nucleotide long non-coding RNA. RefSeq lists it as uncharacterized. The record is from RefSeq and is a predicted model, not a curated record. The transcript is spliced from 2 exons. NCBI's taxonomy places the organism in Eukaryota, Metazoa, Chordata, Mammalia, Proboscidea, Elephantidae.